RNAcentral lists this ribosomal RNA (466 nucleotides) under uncultured Arcobacter sp. RNAcentral describes it as "bacterial SSU rRNA". It matches the Rfam family "Bacterial small subunit ribosomal RNA", at positions 29 to 505 of the family's 1533-position model. Lineage: Bacteria; Pseudomonadati; Campylobacterota; Epsilonproteobacteria; Campylobacterales; Arcobacteraceae. The record is from RNAcentral.
AGUGAACGCUGGCGGCGUGCUUAACACAUGCAAGUCGAACGAGAACGGAUUUAAGUUUACUUAAAUUGUCAGCUAAGUGGCGCACGGGUGAGUAAUAUAUAGGUAAUGUGCCCUAGAGAGGGGGAUAACAGUUGGAAACGACUGCUAAUACCCCAUAUGCCUUUAAAACAUAAGUUUGCAAGGGAAAUAUUUAUAGCUCUAGGAUCGGCCUGUACGGUAUCAGUUAGUUGGUGAGGUAAUGGCUCACCAAGACAAUGACGCCUAACUGGUUUGAGAGGAUGAUCAGUCACACUGGAACUGAGACACGGUCCAGACUCCUACGGGAGGCAGCAGUGGGGAAUAUUGCACAAUGGGGGAAACCCUGAUGCAGCAACGCCGCGUGGAGGAUGUCACAUUUCGGUGCGUAAACUCCUUUUAUAUAGGAAGAUAAUGACGGUACUAUAUGAAUAAGCGCCGGCUAACUCCG